AGAAGAGGAAGAAUUAACUUAGUCUUGUGAUGGAGAACAACUGAAUUCCUGUAUGACCAUAGGAACCUAGUUAGGAAUAAAUCAUUUCAAAAGGCGCAUCCGAGUGUGGCUUAAAAAUGGGAUGGGAGCAAAACAUCAAUCUCAGUCUCUAACUGGUCCGGAGAGAGUUGGCGCUCCUUGAGGGUCCAUGGACAGUAGAAACUAGGUGCUGUGGCCACCAGAGGUAGUCCCAGGCUCUGUCUGGAGCCACCUUCACUCUGCAGUGCCUGGUGUGUUGGGGCUGCUUGCAAGUCUGAGAAACCUUUUUUAUGUGAUGGAGAAUCUAUAUAAUUAGGGUCAUUUUGGUGGACAGAGACAUAAACUAAGACCUUCAGGGCUUUUCAUUCCAAGUCUAUCCUUGUCCUCACUUUGAGCAAAUUUGGUCCUAUGUCGUUCAGCUACUUUCCCCGUAAAAUGGCAAUUAAGAUUUGCUCUGCCUACCCCAAAUGACUUUGGUGAGGAUAAAAAUAACUGUUGGGGGGAAAUGUUACCAUGCAAAUGCAAAGUCCCACUAGAACCCAGACCUACCAGUAAACUUGGGUUGGGGGAAGGAGACAGCCUGAAUAUUGGCAGCCUAGAAGGCAGGGGAUUACCAGCCAGUAAGCCCCUGUGUAGGGAAAACUGGUUCCUUGAGGCAGGCAUGCUCAGUCCAGUGCUAGAGCUACAUAAGAACACACUUGGUUUUUAGUGAUACUUAAGUGAGAUCUUCAAGAUGCCCAGGAAAAAGAAAAAAAUCACACCAGCUCCCCACAGGCCUCAUCCUCAAACCUAGCAGCCUGCUCUCCAGCUCCAUGCGGCAUGCUUUCAAGGAUGACAUCAGAUACUUACCAGAGUUGUCACAGUGAGUGUGUGAUCACAGAAGGAUGCUGCCCUUUGCAAAGGCUACAAGUCAUCAGCCUUACAAUCCAUUUCUCCCCAUGAUGGACAAAGUUCUGGAUACAACCCAUCCUCCCAAGUCAGCAGAGGAGCAAACCACUCGUCGCUUUUGUCUGCUGCCAUUGCCUAUGCAAAGAGAAUCCAGGGAAGAUGGUGGUGAGAACAAAGAAAAUAAACCAGUUCAGAUUGAACUUGAAUGACGUAUCCCCCAGCUGAGAAGUGGGGCACCUAACUGGAUGUGCUGAGAGACCCCUCUUCUGCCAACUCUCAGAUCUAGGAAGCAUAAUGUAAGCAGAAAGAACAACAGAUUAAAACCUGUCACUAACCACUGUGUAAUUCUGAGGACCCCAGCAGAUCCCAGAGGACAGGGGAGAAGAUGUACCUCCAUCCUCUCUAUUAUCUGAAGAGAUGGGAGGAAGAUUACUAUCAGACUGAUGCUUAGUUGUGCUGAACUGAUUUCUCCCCUUUUUUUCUUCAGGAGAUCAAUAAGUACUAAAAAUGCUAAA
Monodelphis domestica (gray short-tailed opossum) is the source of this 1421-nucleotide non-coding RNA. The record is from RefSeq and is a predicted model, not a curated record. NCBI's taxonomy places the organism in Eukaryota, Metazoa, Chordata, Mammalia, Didelphimorphia, Didelphidae.